Molecule: long non-coding RNA, 510 nt
Organism: Salvelinus sp. IW2-2015
Lineage: Eukaryota; Metazoa; Chordata; Actinopteri; Salmoniformes; Salmonidae
Source: RefSeq, a predicted model, not a curated record
CGUGAAUGUGUUUCUUUCUUGUGGGCUGGACCUCCAACCAGUCUAACCCAUUGAGGACUAAACCAGCCCCCUUACUGCAGCCUGCCUCCUCCUCUCAGGGCUCGCGUGAACUGCCCACAUCACUUCCCACUAACGGUGAAGGACCUGGAUGGAGACACAGUGCUCUGUCGCUUUGCCCAGGCUGACCUUGGAGAAUGCCUUGACUGCCCCCAGAACAACUUCCUGCAGAUGGAGGAGGAGACGUGUACGCUGUUGUACAAUGGUAAAUCGUCCGCUGGCCAAUACUCUGUGCAGCUGAUGGUGGAGGACUUUUCACGCCAAACCCAAAGCAACAACCCAAAGCACUCAGUUCCAUCCCACUGCACCUGUCCCUUACAGUGGAGGAGGCGUCCUCAAGCUGCACUGCUGAGCCGGUCACUACGGGACUGACCACCAACAGGGGGAGCCACCAUCUCCGUUCUGCCCUAUGAGCAGAUCAACGUGCCUGUCACCUUUCAUUCUGACCUAGAG